Molecule: transfer RNA, 73 nt
Filed under: Brachyspira catarrhinii
Lineage: Bacteria; Pseudomonadati; Spirochaetota; Spirochaetia; Brachyspirales; Brachyspiraceae
Description: Brachyspira sp. Z12 tRNA-Lys
Rfam family: tRNA
About the family: Transfer RNA (tRNA) molecules are approximately 80 nucleotides in length.
Source: RNAcentral
GGGCCAGUAGCUCAGUUGGUAGAGCAGAUGACUCUUAAUCAUCAGGUCCCGGGUUCGAACCCCUGCUGGCUCA